AUUGAACGCUGGCGGCAUGCCUAACACAUGCAAGUCGAACGGAAACAGGACGCUGUGAUCCCUUCGGGGUGAACUUGUCGCUGUCGAGUGGCGGACGGGUGAGUAAUGCGUAGGAAUUUGCCUCAAAGUGGGGGAUAGCCCGAAGAAAUUCGGAUUAAUACCGCAUGUGCUCUACGGAGGAAAGCGGGCCUCUACUUGUAAGCUCGUGCUUUGAGAUAAGCCUACGUCGGAUUAGCUUGUUGGUAGGGUAACGGCCUACCAAGGCGACGAUCCGUAGCUGGGUUUGAGAGGAUGAUCAGCCACACUGGGACUGAGACACGGCCCAGACUCCUACGGGAGGCAGCAGUGGGGAAUAUUGGACAAUGGGCGCAAGCCUGAUCCAGCAAUGCCGCGUGUGUGAAGAAGGCCUGCGGGUUGUAAAGCACUUUUAUCGGGAAAGAAAAUCUCGGGGUUAAUACCCCCGGGCCUUGACGGUACCCGAAGAAUAAGCACCGGCUAACUCCGUG
Molecule: ribosomal RNA, 506 nt
Filed under: uncultured bacterium
Lineage: Bacteria
Description: bacterial SSU rRNA
Rfam family: Bacterial small subunit ribosomal RNA
Source: RNAcentral